Molecule: ribosomal RNA, 468 nt
Filed under: uncultured bacterium
Lineage: Bacteria
Description: partial 16S ribosomal RNA
Rfam family: Bacterial small subunit ribosomal RNA
Source: RNAcentral
GACGAACGCUGGCGGCGUGCUUAACACAUGCAAGUCGAACGGAAAGGCGCUGCUCUUGUGGGGUGCUCGAGUGGCGAACGGGGGAGUAAAACGUGAGUAAACUGCCCUUGACUUUGGGAUAACUUCAGGAAACUGGGGCGAAUAUCGGAUAGGAGCUCCUGCUGCAUGGGGGGGGUUGGAAAGUUUCGGCGGUUGUGGAUGGACUCGCGGCUUAUCAGCUGGUUGGGCGGGUAGGUGAUUACAAAGGCUUUGACGGGUAGCCGGCCUGAGAGGGUGACCGGCCACAUUGGGCCUGAGAUACGGCGCAGACUCCUACGGGAGGCAGCAGUGGGGAAUAUUGCACAGUGGGCGGAAGCCUGAUGCAGCAACGCCGCGUGCGGGAUGACGGCCUUCGGGUUGUAAACCGCUUUCGCCUGUGACGUAGCGUGCGUGACGGUAAUGGGUAAAGAAGCACCGGCUAACUACGUG